UACGUAGGGUGCAAGCGUUAAUCGGAAUUACUGGGCGUAAAGCGUGCGCAGGCGGUUCGGAAAGAAAGAUGUGAAAUCCCAGAGCUUAACUUUGGAACUGCAUUUUUAACUACCGAGCUAGAGUGUGUCAGAGGGAGGUGGAAUUCCGCGUGUAGCAGUGAAAUGCGUAGAUAUGCGGAGGAACACCGAUGGCGAAGGCAGCCUCCUGGGACAACACUGACGCUCAUGCACGAAAGCGUGGGGAGCAAAC
RNAcentral lists this ribosomal RNA (250 nucleotides) under uncultured bacterium. RNAcentral's name for it is "partial 16S ribosomal RNA". It matches the Rfam family "Bacterial small subunit ribosomal RNA", at positions 524 to 773 of the family's 1533-position model. The record is from RNAcentral. RNAcentral also lists the same sequence under 1 other name.